UGGGGAAUUUUACGCAAUGGGGGAAACCCUGACGUAGCGACACCGCGUGAGCGAAGAAGCCUUUUGGGGUGUAAAGCUCUGUCAGCUGGAACGAACACAAUGACGGUACCAGCAGAGGAAGCAUCGGCUAACUACGUGCCAGCAGCCGCGGUAAGACGUAGGAUGCAAGCGUUGUCCGGAUUCAUUGGGCGUAAAGAGUUCGUAGGUGGUCUGUUAAGUUUGGUGUUAAAGAGCGGGGCCCAACCCCGAUAGUGCACUGAAUACUGUCAUACUUGAGUGUGUUAGAGGUAAGUGGAAUUCCAAGUGUAGCGGUGAAAUGCAUAGAUAUUUGGAAGAACACCGGUGGCGUAAGCGACUUACUGGGCCGUAACUGACACUGAGGAACGAAAGCCGGGGUAGCGAAUG
RNAcentral lists this ribosomal RNA (405 nucleotides) under uncultured bacterium. RNAcentral's name for it is "bacterial SSU rRNA". It matches the Rfam family "Bacterial small subunit ribosomal RNA", at positions 355 to 774 of the family's 1533-position model. The record is from RNAcentral.